Molecule: non-coding RNA, 1019 nt
Organism: Drosophila virilis
Lineage: Eukaryota; Metazoa; Arthropoda; Insecta; Diptera; Drosophilidae
Source: RefSeq, a predicted model, not a curated record
UAAAUUCAGUUUGCUCUAAUCAGCUAAACGUAUCAAAUCUUUCGUUUAAAUUUCUUCAAAAUUAUCAGUCUGAAUUAGACACUGUUCGGGACCAUUUUUAUAUAAAUAUUUCAAUUCCAAGAUGUUUAUGUGGUGUGAGCGCAUCUCAGCAACUUUGGCCGGAGUUGUGGUGGGCCUUUGGUACGGCCACACCUUCCCGUCUGAGGAUGACAAAAAGCCAAAGGACAACAAGAAGAAAUAAUACAAUUUCGCUAGUCAGGCUGAUGUCACGAUAGUUCCAAAAAAUGAAUACCAUUCACUUAGUUAUAUCGCAAUGGGUAUAUAUUUUAUACCCGGAACCAAUUACAAUUGGUUAAAAGCCGGGCAAGAUACGUCAAUCGAUGGAGAUAUACUAUCCGAAAUUAAGUGAAAAAUUCAGUCCCACUCUGACAGUCAAAACAUAAACAUUAUCAAGAAUAUUACUAAAUAUGAAAGAGAUGCGCCGAUCCUGUAGACCACAACCAUCGCUGAUUUCGCGACUGAAUUGCAAACCAUGUAAUCGGGUUCUGUUCUUCAUCGCCGGCGUUGGAAGUGGUGUAUACUACAUCCGGCAUAAGGAGCAGAUAGCCGAGGAGCUCAGGAAUGUCGAAGAGGGCAGCAAGAAGAAGGAUAAGGGCAACUACUUUACACCAAAUGAAUUGAAUGACGAUCUAAUACAGCUGAAGAUAGUGCAAGUCGUAACAAGGAUGAUGUAACGUCUGCCUAACUCUAGCCCUAUUGUACGACCUUCAAGGCGCCAUAUAGCAUAGCACUUGGAAUGAAAUCCCCAGACAUAAACAAUCGCGGACCCGACCAGGAAUGGACACCGGGCAAAUAACAGGACAUGAAUAUUACAAAUUAUAUAGUAAAUAAUAUUGGGCUUUUGAUUCGAAAAAAUAUUCAAUUUCAUGUGUAAAACACCAAGCCUAAAAUUCAUUUAUAUUAAUAUAAUGUGUACAAUUAUACCAAACCCAUUGAAAUAAAAGAAUCUUUAAAUAAUA